Vidua macroura (Pin-tailed whydah) is the source of this 290-nucleotide long non-coding RNA. RefSeq lists it as uncharacterized. The record is from RefSeq and is a predicted model, not a curated record. The transcript has 2 exons. NCBI's taxonomy places the organism in Eukaryota, Metazoa, Chordata, Aves, Passeriformes, Viduidae.
GGCGCGGCAGAUGGUGCAUCCUCACGGCUCCACGGCCAUCCCAAAGCACACCCCGACAGCGACAGGGCUGCCAGCACUUAGGGAUGGGGACUCCACACUGCACUGGAGAGGUACCAGUGUCACUUGUUCCUGAGCACGGAUCAGAUUUUCUGGGGACUCCUAAAGGGGUUCUGAGCUGGAGAGACACUUUGGACAACAGCCUGAAGUGACAAGACAAGAAGAAAUGGCUUAAAACUGACUGGUACUCCCACAAAUAAAAAGCCCACAGAUAAAAUCGCUUUACACCUUUA